This 653-nucleotide ribosomal RNA is filed under the name uncultured bacterium. RNAcentral's name for it is "bacterial SSU rRNA". It matches the Rfam family "Bacterial small subunit ribosomal RNA", at positions 55 to 755 of the family's 1533-position model. The record is from RNAcentral.
AUGCAGUCGAACGGGCACUUCGGUGCUAGUGGCGGACGGGUGAGUAACGCGUGUUUUCAUGCCCCUUUCUUCGGAAUAGCCUCGGGAAACUGGGAGUAGUACCGGAUAAGCCCUACGGGGGAAAGAUUUAUCGGGAAGGGAUUGGCCCGCGUUGGAUUAGGUAGUUGGUGGGGUAAUGGCCUACCAAGCCGACGAUCCAUAGCUGGUUUGAGAGGAUGAUCAGCCACACUGGGACUGAGACACGGCCCAGACUCCUACGGGAGGCAGCAGUGGGGAAUCUUAGACAAUGGGGGAAACCCUGAUCUAGCCAUGCCGCGUGAUCGAUGAAGGCCUUAGGGUUGUAAAGAUCUUUCAGAUGGGAAGAUAAUGACGGUACCAUCAGAAGAAGCCCCGGCUAACUCCGUACCAGCAGCCGCGGUAAUACGGAGGGGGCUAGCGUUAUUCGGAAUUACUGGGCGUAAAGCGCACGUAGGCGGAUCGGAAAGUCAGAGGUGAAAUCCCAGGGCUCAACCUUGGAACUGCCUUUGAAACUCCUGGUCUUGAGGUCGUGAGAGGUGAGUGGAAUUCCGAGUGUAGAGGUGAAAUUCGUAGAUAUUCGGAGGAACACCAGUGGCGAAGGCGGUUCACUGGCACGAUACUGACGCUGAGGUGCG